AACGAACGCUGGCGGCAUGCCUAACACAUGCAAGUCGAACGAGACCGUCGGGUCUAGUGGCGCACGGGUGGGUGACGCGGGGGAACCUGCCCUUAGGUUUGGAAUAACUCACCGAAAGGGGUGCUAAGACCGGAGAAGGUCUUCGGGCCAAAGAUUUAUCGCCGUUGGCUGGGCCUGGGUUGGAUUAGCUAGUUGGUAGGGGAAAAGCCUACCAAGGCGACGUUCCCUAGCUGGUCGGAGAGGAUGAUCAGCCACACUGGGACUGAGACCCGGCCCAGAAUCCUACGGGAGGCAGGAGUGGGGAAUAUUGGACAAUGGGCCAAAGCCUGAUCCAGCCAUGCCGCGUGAGUGAUGAAGGCCUUAGGGUUGUAAAGCUCUUUUACCCGGGAUGAUAAUGACAGUACCGGGAGAAUAAGCUCCGGCUAACUCCGUG
This 433-nucleotide ribosomal RNA is filed under the name uncultured bacterium. RNAcentral describes it as "partial 16S ribosomal RNA". It matches the Rfam family "Bacterial small subunit ribosomal RNA", at positions 29 to 507 of the family's 1533-position model. The record is from RNAcentral.